RNAcentral lists this transfer RNA (71 nucleotides) under Myleus cf. schomburgkii XL-2018. Its description in RNAcentral is "tRNA-Thr". It matches the Rfam family "tRNA". Rfam says of the family: Transfer RNA (tRNA) molecules are approximately 80 nucleotides in length. The record is from RNAcentral. Lineage: Eukaryota; Metazoa; Chordata; Actinopteri; Characiformes; Serrasalmidae.
GUACUAGUAGCUUAGUUUUAAAGCAUCGGUCUUGUAAUCCGAAGAUCGGAGGUUAGACCCCUCCUUAGUGC